Molecule: ribosomal RNA, 428 nt
Filed under: uncultured bacterium
Lineage: Bacteria
Description: bacterial SSU rRNA
Rfam family: Bacterial small subunit ribosomal RNA
Source: RNAcentral
UCGAGAAUAUUUAGCAAUGGACGAAAGUCUGACUAUGCGACGCCGCGUGCAGGAUGAAGGUCUUCGGAUUGUAAACUGCUUUUGUUAGGGGAGAAACCUGUGUCGUUAACAGCGAUACAGCUGACGGUACCUGACGAAUAAGCCACGGCAAACUCCGUGCCAGCAGCCGCGGUAAUACGGAGGUGGCAAGCGUUACUCGGAAUUAUUGGGUGUAAAGGGCAGGUAGGUGGUCUGAUAAGUGAGGGGUGAAAUCCUGCGGUUUAAUCGCAGAACUGCCUUUCAUACUGUCGGACUUGAGAGUGUUAGGGGAGAAUGGAAUUCCCGGUGUAAGGGUGAAAUCUGUAGAUAUCGGGAAGAACACCAACAGCGAAGGCAAUUCUCUGGGACACUUCUGACGCUGAACUGCGAAAGCUAGGGGAGCAAACAGA